RNAcentral lists this ribosomal RNA (753 nucleotides) under Parvoplaca sp. RNAcentral's name for it is "SSU rRNA". It matches the Rfam family "Bacterial small subunit ribosomal RNA", at positions 359 to 1218 of the family's 1533-position model. The record is from RNAcentral. Lineage: Eukaryota; Fungi; Ascomycota; Lecanoromycetes; Teloschistales; Teloschistaceae.
GAUGUAUAGCAAUAGCUAUUUGCACUAAAAAUUUUAGUGUGAAAUCGACUAUGUCGAAUAAAAUUCUGGAUAGAAUUAUGAUAAUGACAUUAUCUGUCCAUAAGUCUUGACCAAAUUACGUGCCAGCAGUCGCGGUAAUACGUAGAAGACAAGUGUUAUUCAUCUUUAAUAGGUUUAAAGGGUACUUAGACGGUAAAUAAAGCCUCCAAAAGGUACUAGUUUGCUAGAGUUUUAUGUAAAGGAGUUUUAAAGUACUACUGGUGUAGAGAUGAAAUUCAGUUAUACCUUACAUGGCACAGGUUAAGGCGAAAGCAUCUUCUUAUAUAAAAACUGACGUUGAAGGACGAAGGCUUUGUGUCUCGAACAGGAUUAGAUACCCUAGUAGUCUAAGCAGAAAAUGAUGAAUGUCAUAGAUUAGAUGUAAUUUGAUCUGUAAAUGAAAGUGUAAGCAUUCCACCUCAAGAGUAAUUUGGCAACAUUGGAACUGAAAUCAUUAGACCGUUUCUGAAACCAGUAGUGAAGUAUGUUGUUUAAUUUGAUGAUCCGCAAAAAACCUUACCACAAUUUGAAUAGAUAUAUUUUAUCAUACAAGCGUUGCACGGCUGUCUUCAGUUAAUGUCGUGAGACUUUGGUUAGUUCCAUUAAAUUAACGUAAACCCUUACUUUAUUUUUAUAUGAAGUAGUUCACCGCUAGAUUGGAUGUGAUAAUAGGGAUCAAGACAAGUCAUCAUGACCUAAAUAUUGUGAGCUAUA